GUGCCAAAACAUUAUGAGUAAGGAAAACCAAUAGGCCUUGCUAAUCGCUUGGCAGUUUGGCUUCUAGGCAGAGGGACAACCGUUCCUUGAAGCUCAAUUUUUGCUAGGGCACAGGUCGUCCCCGGCGCAAAUGCGUAGCGGCGGACCGGCGCCUACUUUGUGUCCGGUUUGCUGCUGUGGCAU
This is a non-coding RNA of Drosophila virilis, 183 nucleotides long. NCBI's taxonomy places the organism in Eukaryota, Metazoa, Arthropoda, Insecta, Diptera, Drosophilidae. The record is from Rfam.